GACGAACGCUGGCGGCGUGCUUAACACAUGCAAGUCGAACGAAGAGCGAUGGAAGCUUGCUUCUAUCACUCUUAGUGGCGAACGGGUGAGUAACGCGUAAUCAACCUGCCCUUCAGAGGGGGACAACAGUUGGAAACGACUGCUAAUACCGCAUACGAUCUAAACUCGGCAUCGAGGAUAGAUGAAAGGUGGCCUCUACAUGUAAGCUAUCACUGAAGGAGGGGAUUGCGUCUGAUUAGCUAGUUGGAGGGGUAACGGCCCACCAAGGCGAUGAUCAGUAGCCGGUCUGAGAGGAUGAACGGCCACAGUGGGACUGAGACACGGCCCAGACUCCUACGGGAGGCAGCAGUGGGGAAUCUUCCGCAAUAGACGAAAGUCUGACGGAGCAACGCCGCGUGAGUGAUGACGGCCUUCGGGUUGUAAAGCUCUGUUAAUCGGGACGAAAGGCCUUCUUGCGAAUAGUGAGAAGGAUUGACGGUACCGGAAUAGAAAGCCACGGCUAACUACGUG
Molecule: ribosomal RNA, 510 nt
Filed under: uncultured bacterium
Lineage: Bacteria
Description: partial 16S ribosomal RNA
Rfam family: Bacterial small subunit ribosomal RNA
Source: RNAcentral